Lycium barbarum (goji berry) is the source of this 752-nucleotide long non-coding RNA. RefSeq lists it as uncharacterized. Lineage: Eukaryota; Viridiplantae; Streptophyta; Magnoliopsida; Solanales; Solanaceae. The transcript has 3 exons. The record is from RefSeq and is a predicted model, not a curated record.
AGUUUCUCUCUAUAUAUUACUACAGUAGUAGUAAUUGCAUACGGGGCUGCAAAUUUUGACAACUGCAAGCAAAGUUGCCUUUUUUCUUUCACUCUUCUAGACCCUUCACUUUUUCUCCAGUUGCUCCUUUCGCCAUCCAAAGACGUACCUAAAAAACAAGAAGUGAAAGGAAUCAUAUUCUCAUUCUCAUCAAAAGCUCUUUUGUUACUAGUAUAUAUUUUCUGUGUAUACAAGAAUAAAUCCACUCUGAAGCUGAAGUUUUCAUAUACCAUCAAAUUUCUGCUAACUCUCUCUUUUUUUCUCCUCUUCUAUUGAGUCUUUUUAAUUUAGUGAAAUUAAAGACAUGAAUGAGCCACCAAAAUAUGGUUAUCCAUACCCUGCCCAAGGUCAAGGGUAUUAUCAGGGUCCUCCUCCUCCUGUGAUGGCGCCACCAACAUAUGCUGCUCCUCCACCUCAGAAAAACAGAGGUUUUCUUGAAGGAUGCCUAGCAGCUCUGUGUUGUUGUUGCCUGUUGGAUGAGUGUUGCUGUGAUCCCUCUGUAAUCUGUGUCUGGUAAUUGAGGUGUGCCGGCUGCGGAGUUCAUGCUUUGUACCACCAAAUAAGAAUAGUCAUGUAAAAAAGUUCUUUUGGAACAACAGUAUUAUUGGGAGUAAUCUUGUAAUAGUCUUUUUAAAUCUUUAAACUCUUGAGAGAGUUGCAGUUUCAUUAUGUAAACUACAAAACAAAAAUUGGAAUUACAUCUUUUUGGCCCC